RNAcentral lists this ribosomal RNA (566 nucleotides) under Nocardiopsis sp. EGI80339. RNAcentral's name for it is "bacterial SSU rRNA". It matches the Rfam family "Bacterial small subunit ribosomal RNA", at positions 126 to 692 of the family's 1533-position model. Lineage: Bacteria; Bacillati; Actinomycetota; Actinomycetes; Streptosporangiales; Nocardiopsidaceae. The record is from RNAcentral.
CUGCCCCUGACUCUGGGAUAAGCGGUGGAAACGCCGUCUAAUACCGGAUACGACCUUUCAGCUCAUGCUGGAGGGUGGAAAGUUUUAUCGGUCAGGGAUGGGCUCGCGGCCUAUCAGCUUGUUGGUGGGGUAAAGGCCUACCAAGGCGAUUACGGGUAGCCGGCCUGAGAGGGCGACCGGCCACACUGGGACUGAGACACGGCCCAGACUCCUGCGGGAGGCAGCAGUGGGGAAUAUUGCACAAUGGGCGAAAGCCUGAUGCAGCGACGCCGCGUGGGGGAUGACGGCCUUCGGGUUGUAAACCUCUUUUACCACCAACGCAGGCUCCACGUUCUCGUGGGGUUGACGGUAGGUGGGGAAUAAGGACCGGCUAACUACGUGCCAGCAGCCGCGGUAAUACGUAGGGUCCGAGCGUUGUCCGGAAUUAUUGGGCGUAAAGAGCUCGUAGGCGGCGUGUCACGUCUGCUGUGAAAGACCGGGGCUUAACUCCGGUUCUGCAGUGGAUACGGGCAUGCUAGAGGUAGGUAGGGGAGACUGGAAUUCCUGGUGUAGCGGUGAAAUGCGCA